CCUACGGGAGUCAGCAGUGAGGAAUAUUGGUCAAUGGACGAGAGUCUGAACCAGCCAAGUAGCGUGAAGGAUGACUGCCCUAUGGGUUGUAAACUUCUUUUAUAUGGGAAUAAAAUGUUCCACGUGUGGGAUUUUGUAUGUACCAUAUGAAUACGGAUCGGCUAACUCCGUGCCAGCAGCCGCGGUAAUACGGAGGAUCCGAGCGUUAUCCGGAUUUAUUGGGUUUAAAGGGAGCGUAGGUGGAUUGUUAAGUCAGUUGUGAAAGUUUGCGGCUCAACCGUAAAAUUGCAGUUGAAACUGGCAGUCUUGAGUACAGUAGAGGUGGGCGGAAUUCGUGGUGUAGCGGUGAAAUGCUUAGAUAUCACGAAGAACUCCGAGUGCGAAGGCAGUUCACUGGACUGCAACUGACACUGAGGCUCGAAAGUGUGGGUAUCAAACAGGAUUAGAUACCCUUGUAGUC
Molecule: ribosomal RNA, 460 nt
Filed under: uncultured bacterium
Lineage: Bacteria
Description: partial 16S ribosomal RNA
Rfam family: Bacterial small subunit ribosomal RNA
Source: RNAcentral